Molecule: ribosomal RNA, 262 nt
Filed under: uncultured Anaerolineaceae bacterium
Lineage: Bacteria; Bacillati; Chloroflexota; Anaerolineae; Anaerolineales; Anaerolineaceae
Description: partial 16S ribosomal RNA
Rfam family: Bacterial small subunit ribosomal RNA
Source: RNAcentral
UUGUUAUAUGUGUCAUACGGAGUACGCCGGGUAAAAAGCCGGAGGAAGGUGAGGAUGAUGUCAAGUCAGCAUGACCUUUAUAUCCAGGGCUACACACACGGCUACAAUGGUCUGUACAAUGGGUAGCCAAGCCGCGAGGCGGAGCCAAUCCUGAAAAGCAGGCCUCAGUUCAGAUUGCAGUCUGCAACUCGACUGCAUGAAGCCGGAGUUGCUAGUAACCGCAGGUCAGCAAUACUGCGGUGAAUACGUUCCCGGGUCUUGU